GAAAACAUUGAUUGCUUUUUCUAUUCCCAUAGUAACAUUUUCUCACUCUAUAUUUAUCAAUAUUGAAAAUAGAAAAGGAUUUAACAAAUGUCUCUGAACUCUUGCCACAAAUGGGUAUUAAAAAGUUUGUAUUAGAUGAUUAUUUUUAUACAUUUAUUUAAUAUUUUUUAGUAAUCUCUUUACCUAGUAUGGGGCUCAAACUCACGACCCUGAGAUCAAGAGUCACCUGCUCUUCCAACUCAGCCAGCCAGGAACCCUUGCAUUAGGUGAUUAUUAACACUGAUUUACUCUGUUGUUCUUCCCAAGUCCACUUCCUUGCUUCCCAACCCUGAAACUGCGGUUUAUCAUGUUGUUUUAUAGUUAAUAUUUUUAUACUGUUCACUAAAUACAUAUAUAACUCAAUAUAUUCUUUUUAUUUGUCUUAAAUGGUCUACUAUAUUAAUUGUGGAAGAUUGUAUUAUUGUUCCUAAUGAUCCAUGGUGCUUCCUUUCAGUGAAUCAUGCAUCCCCUUCUGUCUCCAUGUGACUUCAGUGAUGUUCCUCGCUCUUCUACUACCCCAAAGUCAGAUGUGGCCAUGUGACCUGCUAUCUCCAUGCUGAAACUUCAGGUGGCAUGGCAUGUUCCUUUUCUUGCUCAGUCACAAAUCAAGGUCUUGCUGGCCUGUCACAGACCUGAAGUUAAGUAAAUCCCAAAUGACUGGAGCCCUGCAGGCCCAUCCCAUAGAAAUGAUGGUGAGAUGUAUCUAUUAAUCAUAUGAGUCCAAUUCUGCUUCGGGUAUUAUGUGGCAGGUGUGUGUCAGCAGAGUAAAA
Vulpes vulpes (red fox) is the source of this 809-nucleotide long non-coding RNA. NCBI's taxonomy places the organism in Eukaryota, Metazoa, Chordata, Mammalia, Carnivora, Canidae. The record is from Ensembl.